UUGGGACCUGCCACGGCUCACUGCAGAAGG
Molecule: non-coding RNA, 30 nt
Filed under: Mus musculus (house mouse)
Lineage: Eukaryota; Metazoa; Chordata; Mammalia; Rodentia; Muridae
Source: RNAcentral